Long non-coding RNA from Oreochromis niloticus (Nile tilapia), 479 nucleotides. RefSeq lists it as uncharacterized. Lineage: Eukaryota; Metazoa; Chordata; Actinopteri; Cichliformes; Cichlidae. The transcript has 3 exons. The record is from RefSeq and is a predicted model, not a curated record.
GUGAAUAGGAGGGGAACAUGGUGGAGAUGCUUUAGAAACUGAUGAUCUACUGGGAGUUUCCUGCACAACCAUCACCAGGGCUUACAGGGAAGGUUCAAAAACCUCUGGGUGAAAUGUCGGAGAAUUUUAACUUCAAGCUAUCAAGCCAUCAAUGUGGAAGAAGAGCUGGCAGCAGAGACGAUGGGUCUGUUCCUUGAGCGUAAUGAAAGUGGACAAGUCGGGAAUGUGGGAAUUGUCAACAAGUUACAUUUUUAAAGUAUUUCAAAAGAUACUUGUUGAAAUCACUCCUGAGAAGUUGUCAACAAAGGUGCAAAGAAUAAAAAGUCUAAUGACCUAGUUGACUGUUAUGUUGAUAAGCACAGACGAGACAGAGUGUACCCUCAGAUAUUAGUGAGUCUCUUCUGAAAGCAUGAACAAUCUAUGGGUUAAUUUAACCAAAUCAUCUCAAAGUGUUGUCUGACUGAUUGUGUGAUCUGAUG